GUAAGGAAUAUUGGUCAAUGGACGAAAGUCUGAACCAGCCAUGCCGCGUGGAGGAUGAAGGUCCUCUGGAUUGUAAACUUCUUUUAUUUGGGACGAAAAAAGGGCAUUCUUGCUCACUUGACGGUACCAGAUGAAUAAGCACCGGCUAACUCCGUGCCAGCAGCCGCGGUAAUACGGAGGGUGCAAGCGUUAUCCGGAUUCACUGGGUUUAAAGGGUGCGUAGGCGGGCAUUUAAGUCAGCGGUGAAAUCCCCGAGCUUAACUUGGGAACUGCCGUUGAUACUAUUUGUCUUGAAUGUCGUGGAGGUCAGCGGAAUAUGUCAUGUAGCGGUGAAAUGCUUAGAUAUGACAUAGAACACCUAUUGCGAAGGCAGCUGACUACGCGAUUAUUGACGCUGAGGCACGAAAGCGUGGGGAUCAAACAGGAUUAGAUACCCCAGUAGUCC
This 445-nucleotide ribosomal RNA is filed under the name uncultured bacterium. Its description in RNAcentral is "bacterial SSU rRNA". It matches the Rfam family "Bacterial small subunit ribosomal RNA", at positions 354 to 796 of the family's 1533-position model. The record is from RNAcentral.